GGUUUCUUGAUUAAAUAGGAGAUUUAACCUGCCCCCUGAAAGAUUUUUAAGGGCCGCAGUAUUUUGACUGUGCAAAGGUAGCAUAAUCAUUAGUCUUUUAAUUGAAGGCUGGUAUGAAUGGUUGGAUGAGGUAAUAACUGUCUUAUGAGAAUUUUUUUUGAAGUUAGGUAUUAGGUAAAAAAACCUAAAUAUUAUUAGGGGACGAGAAGACCCUAUAGAGUUUAAUAAGUUAAUUAAUUAAUUAAGUUUUUAAAAAAUUUUAGGUUGAUUAAUGAAUUUAUUUGAUUGGGGUGAUUUAAAGAUAUAAAAAACUCUUUAUAAAGAUUAAUGUAAUUUUUAGUAUAUUGAUCCAUAUUAUUGUGAUUAGAAGAUUAAAUUACCUUAGGGAUAACAGCAUAAUUUCUUUUGAGAGUUCAUAUCGAAAAAGAAGAUUGUGACCUCGAUGUUGGAUUAAGAUAAAUUUUGGGUGUAGAUGUUUAAUAAUUAGGUCUGUUCGACCUUUAAAUUCUUACA
Molecule: ribosomal RNA, 513 nt
Filed under: Amorphoscelis sp. MN240
Lineage: Eukaryota; Metazoa; Arthropoda; Insecta; Mantodea; Hymenopodidae
Description: partial 16S ribosomal RNA
Rfam family: Bacterial large subunit ribosomal RNA
Source: RNAcentral